This 470-nucleotide ribosomal RNA is filed under the name uncultured bacterium. RNAcentral describes it as "bacterial SSU rRNA". It matches the Rfam family "Bacterial small subunit ribosomal RNA", at positions 40 to 507 of the family's 1533-position model. The record is from RNAcentral.
CGGCAUGCCUUACACAUGCAAGUCGAACGGCAGCACGGGAGCAAUCCUGGUGGCGAGUGGCGAACGGGUGAGUAAUAUAUCGGAACGUGCCCAGUCGUGGGGGAUAACGUAGCGAAAGCUACGCUAAUACCGCAUACGAUCUAUGGAUGAAAGCGGGGAUCGCAAGACCUCGCGCGAUUGGAGCGGCCGAUAUCAGAUUAGGUAGUUGGUGAGGUAAAGGCUCACCAAGCCGACGAUCUGUAGCUGGUCUGAGAGGACGACCAGCCACACUGGGACUGAGACACGGCCCAGACUCCUACGGGAGGCAGCAGUGGGGAAUUUUGGACAAUGGGCGCAAGCCUGAUCCAGCAAUGCCGCGUGCAGGAUGAAGGCCUUCGGGUUGUAAACUGCUUUGUACGGAACGAAACGGCGAGCUCUAAUACAGUUUGCUAAUGACGGUACCGUAAGAAUAAGCACCGGCUAACUACGUG